ACGGAAGCAGCAGUGGGGAAUAUUGCACAAUGGGGGAAACCCUGAUGCAGCGACGCCGCGUGAGUGAAGAAGUAUUUCGGUAUGUAAAGCUCUAUCAGCAAGGAAGAAAAUGACGGUACUUGACUAAGAAGCUCCGGCUAAAUACGUGCCAGCAGCCGCGGUAAUACGUAUGGAGCAAGCGUUAUCCGGAUUUACUGGGUGUAAAGGGAGCGUAGACGGCAAAGCAAGUCUGAAGUGAAAUCCCGGGGCUCAACCCCGGAACUGCUUUGGAAACUGUUUAGCUAGAGUGCAGGAGAGGUAAGCGGAAUUCCUAGUGUAGCGGUGAAAUGCGUAGAUAUUAGGAGGAACACCAGUGGCGAAGGCGGCUUACUGGACUGUAACUGACGUUGAGGCUCGAAAGCGUGGGGAGCAAACAGGAUUAGAUACCCUGGUA
This 433-nucleotide ribosomal RNA is filed under the name uncultured Lachnospiraceae bacterium. RNAcentral describes it as "partial 16S ribosomal RNA". It matches the Rfam family "Bacterial small subunit ribosomal RNA", at positions 341 to 792 of the family's 1533-position model. The record is from RNAcentral. Lineage: Bacteria; Bacillati; Bacillota; Clostridia; Lachnospirales; Lachnospiraceae.